RNAcentral lists this ribosomal RNA (465 nucleotides) under uncultured Klebsiella sp. Its description in RNAcentral is "bacterial SSU rRNA". It matches the Rfam family "Bacterial small subunit ribosomal RNA", at positions 338 to 795 of the family's 1533-position model. The record is from RNAcentral. Lineage: Bacteria; Pseudomonadati; Pseudomonadota; Gammaproteobacteria; Enterobacterales; Enterobacteriaceae.
CCUACGGGAGGCAGCAGUGGGGAAUAUUGCACAAUGGGCGCAAGCCUGAUGCAGCCAUGCCGCGUGUGUGAAGAAGGCCUUCGGGUUGUAAAGCACUUUCAGCGGGGAGGAAGGCGGUGAGGUUAAUAACCUCAUCGAUUGACGUUACCCGCAGAAGAAGCACCGGCUAACUCCGUGCCAGCAGCCGCGGUAAUACGGAGGGUGCAAGCGUUAAUCGGAAUUACUGGGCGUAAAGCGCACGCAGGCGGUCUGUCAAGUCGGAUGUGAAAUCCCCGGGCUCAACCGGGGAACUGCAUUCGAAACUGGCAGGCUAGAGUCUUGUAGAGGGGGGUAGAAUUCCAGGUGUAGCGGUGAAAUGCGUAGAGAUCUGGAGGAAUACCGGUGGCGAAGGCGGCCCCCUGGACAAAGACUGACGCUCAGGUGCGAAAGCGUGGGGAGCAAACAGGAUGAGAUACCCGAGUAGUC